This 691-nucleotide long non-coding RNA is filed under the name Lathyrus oleraceus (garden pea). Its description in RNAcentral is "Pisum sativum (pea) long non-coding RNA (PSAT_LNC035944)". Lineage: Eukaryota; Viridiplantae; Streptophyta; Magnoliopsida; Fabales; Fabaceae. The record is from RNAcentral.
UCAGAUAGGGUGUUUACCUAGUGGUAGUGAUAGUGUUUGAAGAUUGGAGUUGUGGAUGGUGCUGUGUUUGAGAUUAUGAUGUUAGUAGUGAUAGUGGUUCUAAUGUGUAUGUUAAGGUUUUAAGGUUGGAAAAGUAUGAUUUGUGUAUGGUUGUAUUGAACAAGGAGAGAAGAUGGUUGGCUAUGGAGGAAGGAUGUGUGAGGUUGAUAUGUUGUGAGGGUAGUAAACUGUGUGUAGAAAAAAUGAAAAUGAUUUUUCUCCGUUGAAAAAAAAAAUGGGUUUGCUCCUCUUCAACUAGAUAUUUUAAGCCAUAACCUCUUAACAUGUGCCACGUGUAAGCUCAAUGUGGUCUCUCCGUAUCCUCAUUUGUGUGGCUCGUGGCUAAAGGGAAAGAAGAUAUUUUUUCAAUUUUUCUUGAUUUAAUAAGUUUUAUUUUUAAAUUAAAAAUAAAAAACUAAAACAAAAGUUUAAAAGUUAAAAUAAAUUUAAUAAAACAAAAUAAAAUUAUAUUUAAAACCCAAUAAAUUCUAAUUAAUUCUACUAAUUAAAUUGCCGAAAAAAAUAAAAAAAUAAUUGGAUAAAAAGUGAAUAAAAAAUGGAUGCAAAAUUGUUCGAAAAAAUAAACUGAGUGCACCAAGAUGAUCAGCGUGAAAUAAACUUCUCGGAAACAUAUAGGUUUGAAUAAAAUUUU